GAAGAGAAAUCCUGUUUGAAGAGCAACAAUAUAGGAAUUGUGGUUGUCUUGAAAAAUGAUAGAUAAACAAUUUCAUGUAGCCAUAGUUGUGGAGCCUUUCUUCAUGAUAGUGGUGAAGAGAUUAAAGUAGAUGGUAAAGUAGAUCCACUAAAGUACAGUAGAAUCAAGAGUGAUCCAUUGUUGUGAUUAUCAUUGGUUGGAGUCGGAUGUUCCUUCCUAGGUUGAGAGAUGAUAUGGUGAAGAACUCUGGUAACCCGAGCAUGAGUUUCAAAAAGUUCAACCCACAUAGCAUAAUGGCCCUUCUCAUGCCCAACAUAAAAGAAAUGUUAUUUUUUAUAAUAGUGACUGUGAGUGUUAAGUGAAAUUCAUAUUUACCAAAGGAAGAGGCAAGAUCGGAUUUGGUUGAAGACAUGGUGUCAACGGUGAGAAACAGGUUUAUGAAAGAAAGAAGAGGAGAUAAUUGGGUUGGCAAGUGGUAGAGCAUGGUUGUUGGGACCAAGGGAUGACAUGCAAGGAGGAAGCGAAGGGUAGCUCACAACUAUUAAAAAAAGGAGGGGCAAUGCGAGUUAGAGAAGGAAGGAAGGAAGAGUACAGAAAUAGGUUGUUGGUGAAUGGGAGGCAUGACAACAAUUGGGAGUGGCGAAAAUGCAAGAGAGAGCCUUGGAGAGUGAGACGAUGCAGAAAAGAAAAUGAGUGCACGACGUCAAAUGCAAAGAGGUGAGGUAUGAAUCAGAGAGAGACUCAUGAUACCAUGUAAGAAAGAAAGAGGAUUUGAAUAUGUGUCUCAUUAUGUCUUAAAAAUAUGUAUACAUACUUAAGAUCAUGACCUAUGUGUUUUCUUGGGCUAUCCCCAUAAUUACAGAUGUUAUAAAUGUUUUGGUAUGUCCCAUAAAAUAGUAAUAAUAUCGUGAUGUGUCAUUUUUGAUGAAACAUAAUUUCCUUUUACCCAUAUGCCUUCCUCCCUUGUCUCUACUUAUGGUAGUUUCACUAAUGACAUACAUCCAUCCCUUAUUUAUCCACGGGCCAACACUCACCUGGAGCCUUUGCCUAACCCAUAACUUGUAAGAUUACACUCCCUUUCAUCUAGUACAACAACCUCCACAACCAUCCUAUUUACCUUUCCUACUUCAUACCGGCCUAACCUGCUGUCAACCCCUACCCCUUCAUAACAACUUGACUUUCUUACUAGGAUUAUGUCUAGUCGUAACAUGACCAAUGUCUACAAACUCAGAAAGCUCUUUAACCUUUUUGUUUCCAUUAUUGAUCAAAUGAUAUCAAC
Molecule: long non-coding RNA, 1279 nt
Filed under: Vigna radiata
Lineage: Eukaryota; Viridiplantae; Streptophyta; Magnoliopsida; Fabales; Fabaceae
Description: long non-coding RNA (VRAD_LNC010636)
Source: RNAcentral